CUCUGGGAAAGGGAAAGGCAGAGUGAGGAAUGGCCCCAGGGCUCCACGUGCAAGAGCAAUCCACCAACGACCACUGGGUGAGCAUUUGCAGCUUUAUGAGAAAUCUCCCCUUCCAUAAGAACAUGGCACAACGCCCCCCCAACAGCUCUGUGAUCAUGUGAGAGGUCACAACUCAGAGAAGACUGUAAGGGAGCAAAUCUGCUUCAAGGAAGCCCCCCUUGUCUCUAUGACAAAUCCCCCUUGUGAAGCUCAGCCCAAAGCUACUAUUGGCACUGACAGCCUGCUCUAAGCAACAACAAUCCAUGGCAACUUCCCAGGGGAGCACAGGACCCAGCUUUGACCCUUGUGAGGCCAAGCAUGCCCCAAAGGUGGCUGAUCCACAGGUGCUGCAACAAUCCCCAAAAAGCAGAGGAAGGGUAGUGCUUAAGCUGGCUGUGCAACAGACUCUGGUGAAAAGAAUCCCUUCCAGUGGCAGUGAGACACCCAUACUCACAGCAAAAAAGGCAAGAAUUUCUGGCCUCCGUCUGGACAUCUCAUCAAUGUCUGUCAGAACCUCCAGGAUGUCUGGGAGAAGACACAGGUUGAAAAGCUCCUGGCAAUCUGACUGUGCAUGGGCUAACGGGCAUAAGGAAGCUUACUGGAGUGGAUCCGAGUGCUUCUGCAAGAAGGAGACAGCUGCCUGGGCAUUGCACGUGAUGUACUUGUGGAUAAACUGC
Molecule: long non-coding RNA, 716 nt
Organism: Passer domesticus (house sparrow)
Lineage: Eukaryota; Metazoa; Chordata; Aves; Passeriformes; Passeridae
Exons: 3
Source: RefSeq, a predicted model, not a curated record